This 678-nucleotide long non-coding RNA is filed under the name Mus caroli (Ryukyu mouse). RNAcentral's name for it is "lncRNA (MGP_CAROLIEiJ_G0006169.1)". Lineage: Eukaryota; Metazoa; Chordata; Mammalia; Rodentia; Muridae. The record is from RNAcentral.
CGCAAGCCAGUUCGCUCUUGACUGGCUUCACCCAGAAUGAUGCUGGGAAGAUGGGUGCCUUUGUUUCCAUUCCAAAGUCAAAGAAGAAAAUGAAGCAAGAGGUGCUAGGUGAUGGCCUUCAACUCCCCAGGGAGAGCCCAGCACUCUCCAAACCUGCAUCCCAGCCCUCCUCAAAUGAAUCAUGGCUCCUGGGUGAAGCCUGCAGCCCAGGGCAUGCCCUUGGCACUCUCAUGCUUAAAACUCCCCUCUGGUAUACCCCCCCAACCCCAUUCAGACCUCCCUUAUCGGUUAUGCUCCUGCCAGCUAGAUGGCUCCUCUUGGGGAUCCCUCUUUGCCCCAACAGGGCUGUGCUGGGCUCCUCCUCUGGUCUCUAUGCAUACCCCAAUAUUUCAAUAUUGUUUCCUAUCUCCUUCCCCUGAUCUGCAAGCUCCCAGAGGGCCAACUCCAAGGCAGACCCAUUGUCACAUGAUCACAGCUUAGCACACUAAUCGUAGGGGCAAGAAGUCCAUGAUAGGAAUUGCAAUUAAAUCACAGAUAUGACAGCACCGUGUUGGAAAAGCACAACUGAAACAGUUCUUACCAGCUUUCUAGUCAUCCUUUGUCUGAGAUCCUGAUCCCACCCAAAUCUAGGCCCAUAAAGCCCUAAUGUUUGUUUAGCCUGAAGGGCCAGGUCAUUUC